RNAcentral lists this transfer RNA (87 nucleotides) under Methylococcales bacterium. RNAcentral describes it as "tRNA-Leu". It matches the Rfam family "tRNA". From Rfam's summary of the family: Transfer RNA (tRNA) molecules are approximately 80 nucleotides in length. The record is from RNAcentral. RNAcentral also lists the same sequence under 2 other names. Lineage: Bacteria; Pseudomonadati; Pseudomonadota; Gammaproteobacteria; Methylococcales.
GCCGAUGUGGUGAAAUUGGUAGACACGCCAUCUUGAGGGGGUGGUGAUCGCAAGGUCAUGCUGGUUCGAGUCCAGUCAUCGGCACCA